GACGAACGCUGGCGGCGCGCCUAACACAUGCAAGUCGAACGGAGCUGAGAGGAGCUUGCUUUUCUUAGCUUAGUGGCGAACGGGUGAGUAACGCGUGAGUAACCUGCCCUGGAGUGGGGGACAACAGUUGGAAACGACUGCUAAUACCGCAUAAGCCCACGGAUUCGCAUGGAUCUGCGGGAAAAGGAUUUAUUCGCUUCAGGAUGGACUCGCGUCCAAUUAGCUAGUUGGUGAGGUAACGGCCCACCAAGGCGACGAUUGGUAGCCGGACUGAGAGGUUGAACGGCCACAUUGGGACUGAGACACGGCCCAGACUCCUACGGGAGGCAGCAGUGGGGGAUAUUGCACAAUGGGGGAAACCCUGAUGCAGCGACGCCGCGUGGAGGAAGAAGGUCUUCGGAUUGUAAACUCCUGUUGUUGAGGAAGAUAAUGACGGUACUCAACAAGGAAGUGACGGCUAACUACGUG
RNAcentral lists this ribosomal RNA (468 nucleotides) under uncultured bacterium. Its description in RNAcentral is "bacterial SSU rRNA". It matches the Rfam family "Bacterial small subunit ribosomal RNA", at positions 28 to 507 of the family's 1533-position model. The record is from RNAcentral.